AUUGAACGCUAGCGGGAUGCUUUACACAUGCAAGUCGAACGGCAGCACAGAGGAACUUGUUCCUUGGGUGGCGAGUGGUCGGACGGGUGAGUAAUGUAUCGGAACGUGCCCAGUAGUGGGGGAUAACUACGCGAAAGCGUGGCUAAUACCGCAUAUUCUCUACGGAGGAAAGGGGGGGAUCAUUUGACCUCUCGCUAUUGGAGCGGCCGAUAUUAGAUUAGCUAGUUGGUGGGGUAACGGCCUACCAAGGCAGUGAUCUAUAGCUGGUUUGAGAGGACGACCAGCCACACUGGGACUGAGACACGGCCCAG
This 311-nucleotide ribosomal RNA is filed under the name uncultured bacterium. Its description in RNAcentral is "bacterial SSU rRNA". It matches the Rfam family "Bacterial small subunit ribosomal RNA", at positions 30 to 334 of the family's 1533-position model. The record is from RNAcentral.